UGUAGUCUUAUGCUUGUCUCAAAGAUUAAGCCAUGCAUGUCUAAGUAUAAAUCUUUUACUUUGAAACUGCGAACGGCUCAUUAUAUCAGUUAUAGUUUAUUUGAUAGUCCCUUACUACUUGGAUAACCGUAGUAAUUCUAGAGCUAAUACAUGCGUCAAUACCCUUCUGGGGUAGUAUUUAUUAGAUUGAAACCAACCCCUUCGGGGUGAUGUGGUGAUUCAUAAUAAGCUUGCGGAUCGCAUGGCUUUGCCGGCGAUGGAUCAUUCAAGUUUCUGCCCUAUCAGCUUUGGAUGGUAGGGUAUUGGCCUACCAUGGCUUCAACGGGUAACGGGGAAU
Molecule: ribosomal RNA, 337 nt
Filed under: uncultured fungus
Lineage: Eukaryota; Fungi
Description: SSU rRNA
Rfam family: Eukaryotic small subunit ribosomal RNA
Source: RNAcentral